This 95-nucleotide non-coding RNA is filed under the name SAR92 clade bacterium. RNAcentral describes it as "SAR92 bacterium TPP sequence". It matches the Rfam family "TPP riboswitch aptamer (THI element)". From Rfam's summary of the family: Vitamin B(1) in its active form thiamin pyrophosphate (TPP) is an essential coenzyme that is synthesised by coupling of pyrimidine and thiazole moieties in bacteria. The previously detected thiamin-regulatory element, thi box was extended, resulting in a new, highly conserved RNA secondary structure, the THI element, which is widely distributed in eubacteria and also occurs in some archaea. The record is from RNAcentral. Lineage: Bacteria; Pseudomonadati; Pseudomonadota; Gammaproteobacteria; Cellvibrionales; Porticoccaceae.
UCGUUUCCUAAGGGGCGGCCGUGGAAUAGGCCUGAGAUGCACCCUUUGAACCUGAUCCGGAUUAUGCCGGCGUAGGAAUAGGACUAGUAGCUCGU